Molecule: ribosomal RNA, 1428 nt
Filed under: metagenome
Description: bacterial SSU rRNA
Rfam family: Bacterial small subunit ribosomal RNA
Source: RNAcentral
GCUGACAGAAUGCUUAACACAUGCAAGUCGACUGGAAUUCUUCUUCGGAAGAUAGUACGGUGGCGGACGGGUGAGUAACGCGUAAAGAAUUUGCCCUUCAGACUGGGACAACUAAUCGAAAGGUUAGCUAAUACCGGAUAUUAUGAGACCUCGGCAUCGAGGACUCAUGAAAGCUAUAUGCGCUGGAGGAGAACUUUGCGUUCCAUUAGCUAGUUGGUAGGGUAAUGGCCUACCAAGGCGACGAUGGAUAGCCGGCCUGAGAGGGUGAACGGCCACAAGGGGACUGAGACACGGCCCUUACUCCUACGGGAGGCAGCAGUGGGGAAUAUUGGACAAUGGACCAAAAGUCUGAUCCAGCAAUUCUGUGUGCACGAUGAAGGUCUUCGGAUUGUAAAGUGCUUUCAGGUGGGAAGAAGAAAGUGACGGUACCACCAGAAGAAGCGACGGCUAAAUACGUGCCAGCAGCCGCGGUAAUACGUAUGUCGCAAGCGUUAUCCGGAAUUAUUGGGCGUAAAGCGAGUCUAGGCGGCUUGUUAAGUCAGAUGUGAAAAUGCGGGGCUCAACUCCGUAUUGCGUUUGAAACUGGCAGGCUAGAGUACUGGAGAGGUGGGCGGAACUACAAGUGUAGAGGUGAAAUUCGUAGAUAUUUGUAGGAAUGCCGAUAGUGAAGGCAGCUCACUGGACAGAUACUGACGCUAAAGCUCGAAAGCGUGGGGAGCGAACAGGAUUAGAUACCCUGGUAGUCCACGCCGUAAACGAUGUUCACUGGGUGUAGGGGGUCGAACCUCUGUGCCGAAGCUAACGCGAUAAGUGAACCGCCUGGGGAGUACGCACGCAAGUGUGAAACUCAAAGGAAUAGACGGGGACCCACACAAGCGGUGGAGCAUGUGGUUUAAUUCGACACUAAACGGGGAACCUUACCAGGGCUUGACAUCUCCGGAAUUCUGCGGAAACGCGGAAGUGCCGUAAGGAACCGGAUGACAGGUGCUGCAUGGUCGUCGUCAGCUCGUGCCUUGAGGUGUUCGGUUAAGUCCGUAAACGAGCGCAACCCAUGUCCUGUGUUGCAUUUUUCACAGGAGACUGCCGGCUUCAAGUCGGAGGAAGGUAUGGAUGACGUCAGAUCAGCAUGGCCCUUAUGCCUUGGGCCACACACGUGCUACAAUGGUCGGUACAAUGGGCAGCUAACCCGUAAGGGGGAGCAAAUCCCACCAAAGCCGGUCUAAGUUCGGAUUGAGGGCUGCAAUUCGCCCUCAUGAAGUUGGAAUCGCUAGUAACCGCGAAUCAGACAUGUCGCGGUGAAUAUGUUCCUGGGUCUUGUACUCACCGCCCGUCAUAUCAUGAAAGGUGGGGGUAUCCGAAGUCGCCUUAGUCUCUCGGGACGGGCGCCUAAGGUAAACUCACUGAUUGGGAUAAAGUCGAAACAAGGUA